UGGGGAAUUUUGGACAAUGGGCGAAAGCCUGAUCCAGCAAUGCCGCGUGUGUGAAGAAGGCCUUCGGGUUGUAAAGCACUUUUGUCCGGAAAGAAAUCCUUGGCUCUAAUACAGUCGGGGGAUGACGGUACCGGAAGAAUAAGCACCGGCUAACUACGUGCCAGCAGCCGCGGUAAUACGUAGGGUGCAAGCGUUAAUCGGAAUUACUGGGCGUAAAGCGUGCGCAGGCGGUUUGCUAAGACCGAUGUGAAAUCCCCGGGCUCAACCUGGGAACUGCAUUGGUGACUGGCAGGCUAGAGUAUGGCAGAGGGGGGUAGAAUUCCACGUGUAGCAGUGAAAUGCGUAGAGAUGUGGAGGAAUACCGAUGGCGAAGGCAGCCCCCUGGGCCAAUACUGACGCUCAUGCACGAAAGCGUGGGGAGCAAACAGGAUUAGAUACCCUGGUAGUCCACGCCCUAAACGAUGUCAACUAGUUGUUGGGGAUUCAUUUCCUUAGUAACGUAGCUAACGCGUGAAGUUGACCGCCUGGGGAGUACGGUCGCAAGAUUAAAACUCAAAGGAAUUGACGGGGUCAUAGCUGUUUCCUA
RNAcentral lists this ribosomal RNA (586 nucleotides) under uncultured bacterium. RNAcentral describes it as "partial 16S ribosomal RNA". It matches the Rfam family "Bacterial small subunit ribosomal RNA", at positions 355 to 939 of the family's 1533-position model. The record is from RNAcentral.